CCUACGGGAGGCAGCAGUGGGGAAUAUUGCACAAUGGGGGAAACCCUGAUGCAGCGACGCCGCGUGAGUGAAGAAGUAUCUCGGUAUGUAAAGCUCUAUCAGCAGGGAAGAAACCCACCCUCCGGGGUGGCUGACGGUACCUGACUAAGAAGCCGCGGCUAACUACGUGCCAGCAGCCGCGGUAAUACGUAGGGGGCAAGCGUUAUCCGGCGUUACUGGGUGUAAAGGGAGCGUAGGUGGCAAGGCAAGUCAGAUGUGAAAACCCGGGGCCCAACCCCGGGAGUGCAUUUGAAACUGGCUGGCUAGAGUGCAGGAGAGGUAAGUGGAAUUCCUGGUGUAGCGGUGAAAUGCAUAGAUAUUAGGAGGAACACCAGUGGCGAAGGCGGCUUACUGGACUGUAACUGACACUGAGGCUCGAAAGCGUGGGGAGCAAACAGGAUUAGAUACCCCUGUAGUC
Molecule: ribosomal RNA, 457 nt
Filed under: uncultured bacterium
Lineage: Bacteria
Description: partial 16S ribosomal RNA
Rfam family: Bacterial small subunit ribosomal RNA
Source: RNAcentral